GCCUGAACCAGCAACGCCGCGUGUGCGAUGACGGCCUUCGGGUUGUAAAGCACUUUUUGAGGGGAUGAGGAAGGACAGUACCCUCAGAAUAAGUCUCGGCUAACUACGUGCCAGCAGCCGCGGUAACACGUAGGAGACUAGCGUUAUUCGGAUUUACUGGGCGUAAAGCGCGUGCAGGCGGUUCGGUUAGUUGGAUGUGAAAGCUCCUGGCUUAACUGGGAGAGGUCGUUCAAUACUGCCGGACUUGAGAGUGGUAGAGGGAGUUGGAAUUCCGGGUGUAGUGGUAAAAUGCGUAGAUAUCCGGAAGAACACCAGUGGCGAAAGCGGACUCCUGGACCAUUUCUGACGCUCAGACGCGAAAGCUAGGGGAGCGAACGGGAUUAGAGACCCCGGUAGUCCUAGCUGUAAACGAUGUAGACUUGGCGUUGGAGGGGUUAAAUCCUUCAGUGCCGAAGCAAACGCGAUAAGUCUACCGCCUGGGGACUACGGCCGCAAGGUUA
This 500-nucleotide ribosomal RNA is filed under the name uncultured Chloroflexota bacterium. Its description in RNAcentral is "bacterial SSU rRNA". It matches the Rfam family "Bacterial small subunit ribosomal RNA", at positions 381 to 896 of the family's 1533-position model. The record is from RNAcentral. Lineage: Bacteria; Bacillati; Chloroflexota.